Molecule: long non-coding RNA, 1834 nt
Filed under: Calidris pugnax (ruff)
Lineage: Eukaryota; Metazoa; Chordata; Aves; Charadriiformes; Scolopacidae
Description: lncRNA (ENSCPUG00000018837.1)
Source: RNAcentral
GGACAUUCAGGGCAUGUUUGUACUAACUUAUCUCGGUAAAGGGAAAGCUGUUCCUUUAAAUUAUGUUUGCUGUGACUCUGGAAACUGAGCAAACAAAGUCUGAGGGGAAACUUCACUCUCAAGCAGAAGUGACAGAAGGUACGAGGACCGAAGGACAGGGAUCUUCAGUAGGACAUACCUGCCUCAGGAUUCACAACUGAAUUGCAAAUCUUGAACCAUUUUGAGUUCAAUCCGGAUUUGUUGGACAUAACCUCAUCCCGAUGGCAAAGGAGAGACUGGUUCAGCCCCAGACUGUCAGACUGCUCCUUUGGUCUUCUUGAACUACGGGGAAGUAUGUUUGCCUGCAAAGCACAUUCAGUUCUAAUUCAGAUAAAGCUGAUGGAGCUGUGGAGGCUACCUGUCUUCUGCUGCUCUGCUGCGGAUCCAUCCUCUCAGUUGCCAUAGAGACAAGAUCUGGAAGCCAUGGAUGGGCACGGGAGUGAAGCCGCCGGCAAUCUCCAGCAGGGCCUUUCUCAGCAGGUACCGAGAGAGUCAGGCUCAGUCUCUGAAGGUGAGGAAGAGCCAGAAGAUGCUAACUCGGUGGCCCAGGAGAGGGACUCACACACCCAUUACAUUGCCAUUCAAAGAAAUUCCAAGUACUACCGGUCCAUGAGACUUCCAAGCAGAGGGAAAAGAAAGACUUCGAGAGAGGCAAUGCACAUGGGGCAUGCUACAGGUUCCCUCAAAAACAACGAGCCUGUCAAAGAGCCUCUGAACGUUUUACCUCAUAAGGGAUCGCCCUCCCCAGUAAACUCUGACAAGACACCUUUAGACGAACUAUUGAUCCAAAGGUAAGUAAGGGCACAUGCAGGGUACUCGGUGCCUCCGCUGAAGAAUACAGUCAGAGAGGUUGUUUUGUGGAGGACAGCUGGACUCAGCUGUAGCUCUGGUCUGUGCUUUCUCACCCUGACGUGCAGUGCUGUUUUCAGUCCUAACGAAAUAUAUUGCGUAGUACUAGCUCCGUGGCAUAAAGGGACUGAUCAGUAUGAGUUUGGAAAAGACAGUGAAGGAGAAAGGGGAAAGAAGGAGAAGGGGAGAAGAAGAAGACAGUGAGGAAGAUUGAAAAAAGAGGGGAAUGUGAUGUAGGAUCACCCAGUGGCGUAAGCAAAGAGGGCAGGCUGCCUUAAGCAGCUUCAUGAGACAAUAAGGAGAACCUGCAGGCAUUUUCUUAUGGAACAUCCCAACAUAAGGGUGAUGCCAUUCUCGGCCUUCCCAGGGGGCUCUCCUGAAGCCUGUUAUACAACCCUACACGGAAAACAGGAUUUUAUAGCUGAAGAAGUAGCUAUAAAGAUGCUCUCUAAAGUAUUCUGACUUUCUAUUUGCUGUUUGCUUUGAAGAACUGAUAGGCAACAGAGGCUUUCAGCCAAACAGAGGAAGCCCUUUUUUGUUCAAAUCCCUCAACGAUUUAGGUCCAGCAAAAGGCCCUGACACCACAGCCCAUAAAUUCACAUACAUCCCAUAAAUUUACCCUCACCCCUGGUCUCUUGCCACUGCAGCCAGGCAGAGGGAGGAGCAGCUACCUAGCCUUACAUUUUCUAAUAUAUCAGUGAAGUAUUCUCCCAAACUCCCUCUUCAGCUCCUUAUCUCUUGUGUGUAAGUAUGAUAAUCCCUACUUGUGGUGUAGAAGAUCAAGAUAAAUACUUGCCCUCUAAAGGUGCACGCCUUAUACUGCACUGCAUGGUCCUAAUUAGCGAGCCCAGCUGCGUUGCUGUAAUGCAUAGUGCCUUUCCAGGCACCUUUCCUUAUGAAGAGGACUCCAGUGAAAAGCAUUUUAGCCAAACCGUAAAGUUGGAUU